Molecule: ribosomal RNA, 255 nt
Filed under: Escherichia coli
Lineage: Bacteria; Pseudomonadati; Pseudomonadota; Gammaproteobacteria; Enterobacterales; Enterobacteriaceae
Description: partial 23S ribosomal RNA
Rfam family: Bacterial large subunit ribosomal RNA
Source: RNAcentral
GGUUAGCGCAAGCGAAGCUCUGAAUUGAAGCCCCAGUAAACGGCGGCCGUAACUAUAACGGUCCUAAGGUAGCGAAAUUCCUUGUCGGGUAAGUUCCGACCCGCACGAAAGGCGUAAUGAUUUGAGCGCUGUCUCGACAAUGCACCCGGUGAAAUUGAAAUACCAGUGAAGAUGCUGGUUACCUGCGCCAGGACGGAAAGACCCCAUGGAGCUUUACUCCAGCUUGAUACUGGGAUUCGGUACUGCAUGUACAGG